RNAcentral lists this ribosomal RNA (530 nucleotides) under uncultured bacterium. Its description in RNAcentral is "bacterial SSU rRNA". It matches the Rfam family "Bacterial small subunit ribosomal RNA", at positions 355 to 896 of the family's 1533-position model. The record is from RNAcentral.
UGGGGAAUAUUGCACAAUGGGCGGAAGCCUGAUGCAGCGACGCCGCGUGGGGGAUGAAGGCCUUCGGGUUGUAAACUCCUUUCGACAGGGACGAAGCUUUUGUGACGGUACCUGUAUAAGAAGCACCGGCUAACUACGUGCCAGCAGCCGCGGUAAUACGUAGGGUGCGAGCGUUGUCCGGAAUUACUGGGCGUAAAGAGCUCGUAGGUGGUUUGUCGCGUCGUCUGUGAAAUUCCGGGGCUUAACUCCGGGCGUGCAGGCGAUGCGGGCUGACUUGAGUGCUGUAGGGGAGACUGGAAUUCCUGGUGUAGCGGUGAAAUGCGCAGAUAUCAGGAGGAACACCGAUGGCGAAGGCAGGUCUCUGGGCAGUAACUGACGCUGAGGAGCGAAAGCAUGGGUAGCGAACAGGAUUAGAUACCCUGGUAGUCCAUGCCGUAAACGGUGGGCGCUAGGUGUAGGGGGCUUCCACGUCUUCUGUGCCGUAGCUAACGCAUUAAGCGCCCCGCCUGGGGAGUACGGCCGCAAGGCUA